AGAACGAACGCUGGCGGCAUGCCUAAUACAUGCAAGUCGAACGAACACUUCGGUGUUAGUGGCGCACGGGUGCGUAACGCGUGGGAAUCUGCCCUUGGGUUCGGAAUAACAGUUGGAAACGACUGCUAAUACCGGAUGAUAUCGAAAGAUCAAAGAUUUAUCGCCCAGGGAUGAGCCCGCGUAGGAUUAGCUAGUUGGUGAGGUAAAGGCUCACCAAGGCGACGAUCCUUAGCUGGUCUGAGAGGAUGAUCAGCCACACUGGGACUGGAGACACGGCCCAGACUCCGUACGGGAGGCAGCGAGUAGGGAAUAGUUGGACAAGUCGGGCGACGAAGCCUGA
This 340-nucleotide ribosomal RNA is filed under the name uncultured soil bacterium. RNAcentral describes it as "bacterial SSU rRNA". It matches the Rfam family "Bacterial small subunit ribosomal RNA", at positions 26 to 386 of the family's 1533-position model. The record is from RNAcentral.